RNAcentral lists this transfer RNA (61 nucleotides) under uncultured Parolsenella sp. It matches the Rfam family "tRNA", at positions 6 to 65 of the family's 71-position model. Rfam says of the family: Transfer RNA (tRNA) molecules are approximately 80 nucleotides in length. Their secondary structure includes four short double-helical elements and three loops (D, anti-codon, and T loops). Further hydrogen bonds mediate the characteristic L-shaped molecular structure. tRNAs have two regions of fundamental functional importance: the anti-codon, which is responsible for specific mRNA codon recognition, and the 3' end, to which the tRNAs corresponding amino acid is attached (by aminoacyl-tRNA synthetases). tRNAs cope with the degeneracy of the genetic code in two manners: having more than one tRNA (with a specific anti-codon) for a particular amino acid; and 'wobble' base-pairing, i.e. permitting non-standard base-pairing at the 3rd anti-codon position. The record is from RNAcentral. Lineage: Bacteria; Bacillati; Actinomycetota; Coriobacteriia; Coriobacteriales; Atopobiaceae.
GAUAGCUCAAUGGUAGAGCACGCGGCUGUUAACCGCGUAGUUGUAGGUUCGAGUCCUACUC